CCCACAUUUCCGCACAGGUCCUCUGCAGAUGGCAGAGCCCUUUCUCUAAAUGCAUGGCAUGAAAAGGCAUUUCAAAGGUUGGAAAGAGAGCUUCAGCAUUAAUCAUGAUGGGAUAGCGGAAACUGGCUUUGCAAGGGAUGGACUGGACUUCAGGGAAGAUGGACAGCCUGAGCUCACUUUCAGGAGAGCUCACUUUCAGGAGAUCAGUCAGGGCUGUCAUUCCAGGGCCUGGGUGGAGGGCUUCUGCUGUGCCAGGGAACAGGUGUCUGGACUCGGUCUCCCAGGGGAGAAGCAGGCCCCCCACAAAGGACAUAAAUCUCUACAGAUGAGGAUACCUCACUGGGCUUUUGUUUGUCAGCCAAAAAGGGAAAAACAUUUCAGCAGAGGCCUCAAAGGCAGAACAAAAUAGUGCAAGGAGCCGCACAUCCGCACAGUGCUGAGACCCUGCCCAGGACAAGCUUGAUCCUGGCACCCAAGUGACAACCUGCAUUGAAAAGGCGGAACUUGGCUCUCCUGCCCUGCCAGCUGUAAGAGCUUGAAAGCAAAGCUAUGGGGGGAAUGUCUUUCAUUUCCCCCUGGAAGCUGGGAGGACGUUCAGCUUAGCAUUGCCAACUGUGUAAUGUGGACUUGCCUCUAAAAGAAGCCUUUUUCCUUGGAUGUCUUUCAGGCCGCAGUAUUCCCUUUGGCACCCCCACCCACCUGGAACAAAGCCUGAUGUAAAGUCUGGGUGCGACUCAGACCGGCCUGGGAAAGAAUUUAUUUAAUAAAUGGUGGAAAGUGGCUUCCUUGACGUGUCUUCGAUGGCUUUUUUAUAAAGCAUUUGGUUUGUCUACUCGUCUGUUUUUGCGCCAUCUCUUUCCACAAAGAUGGCUUAUAGCAGGGAUACUUACAACAAAAUGAUGCUGGGAAAACAAAAACAAAGAAGUAGAGAAUUAGGCCUGAGAAAACUAGGAGUAGAGAGUCACGAUUAGAUACAGAGGAGCAUAGAUGUGUAGUCUAGGAAGGCCAACUAAUUGUUAUAGCUGAAAUUCAAAUUCAGUUAGCUAAAAUGUUCCUAGUGUCAAAGGAAGAAUGGGCCACACAGUUGCAUAAUCCUUAGUAUUAGGGAGAAGGAAAAGGUUCCAGUUAUUCAGAGGGAUGUUCUCUUGCCUUAUUCCUUUAAUAAGUAUCUGUUAAAGGCCCACCAUGUGCCAAGCACCAUGCCCGGCAAGCACUGCACUCACCCCCCAGGAACUCAGUGUCUAAAGGAGACUGGGUGAAAGAACUAUAUUUGUGUGCCUAUGAUGUGUCAAAUACUAUGCAUUUAGUUAUGCAGUUACUGUAUGUUAGACACUAUGCAUUUAAUUAUUUACCUGCUGUAUAUCAGACACCAUGCAUUUUCAUUUAACCCUCAUAAGCACUUACAUCAAGUAGACACUGUUACCUCUUUUUUACAG
Molecule: long non-coding RNA, 1436 nt
Filed under: Homo sapiens (human)
Lineage: Eukaryota; Metazoa; Chordata; Mammalia; Primates; Hominidae
Description: HSALNT0305426
Source: RNAcentral